Molecule: ribosomal RNA, 253 nt
Filed under: uncultured bacterium
Lineage: Bacteria
Description: partial 16S ribosomal RNA
Rfam family: Bacterial small subunit ribosomal RNA
Source: RNAcentral
UACGUAGGGGGCGAGCGUUGUCCGGAGUUACUGGGCGUAAAGGGCAUGCAGGCGGUCGGACGCGUUUCGGGUGACAGCGGGUGGCUUAACUACCCGAGUGGUCGAAAGACGGUUUGACUUGAGGACGCGAGAGGGACACGGAAUACCGGGUGGAGUGGUGAAAUGCGUAGAGAUCCGGAGGAACACCGAAGGCGAAGGCAGUGUCCUGGCGCGUAACUGACGCUGAGGUGCGAAAGCCAGGGGAGCGAACGGG